GACGAACGCUGGCGGCGUGCUUAACACAUGCAAGUCGAACGGAAAGGCCCUGCUUUUGUGGGGUGCUCGAGUGGCGAACGGGUGAGUAACACGUGAGUAACCUGCCCUUGACUUUGGGAUAACUUCAGGAAACUGGGGCUAAUACCGGAUAGGAGCUCCUGCUGCAUGGUGGGGGUUGGAAAGUUUCGGCGGUUGGGGAUGGACUGGCGGCUUAUCAGCUUGUUGGUGGGGUAGUGGCUUACCAAGGCUUUGACGGGUAGCCGGCCUGAGAGGGUGACCGGACACAUUGGGACUGAGAUACGGCCCAGACUCCUACGGGAGGCAGCAGUGGGGAAUAUUGCACAAUGGGCGGAAGCCUGAUGCAGCAACGCCGCGUGCGGGAUGACGGCCUUCGGGUUGUAAACCGCUUUCGCCUGUGACGAAGCGUGAGUGACGGUAAUGGGUAAAGAAGCACCGGCUAACUACGUG
This 468-nucleotide ribosomal RNA is filed under the name uncultured bacterium. RNAcentral's name for it is "partial 16S ribosomal RNA". It matches the Rfam family "Bacterial small subunit ribosomal RNA", at positions 28 to 507 of the family's 1533-position model. The record is from RNAcentral.